GAUUUCUGGUAUGGCGCACUUGGCCCGUCUCGGUUACGAGUUUGUGUGCCGGUGUGCGCCUGCCAUCUUUCUGGGGAACGGCUCUACCUUCACUGGUCGGGGUCGCUAGCCAGAUCUUUUACUUUGAAAAAAUUAGAGUGUUUAAAGCAGGCUUGUUGCUAUGAAUACAUUAGCAUGGAAUAAUAAUUUAGGACUUUGGUCUUAUUUUGUUGGUUUCUAGGACUAAAGUAAUGAUUGAUAGGGACAGUUGGGGGUGCUAGUAUUCAGCGGCCAGAGGUGAAAUUCUUGGAUUCGCUGAAGACUAACUUAUGCGAAAGCAUU
This 321-nucleotide ribosomal RNA is filed under the name Cercomonas sp. RNAcentral describes it as "SSU rRNA". The stretch from base 103 to 321 matches the Rfam family "Eukaryotic small subunit ribosomal RNA", at positions 736 to 955 of the family's 1831-position model. The record is from RNAcentral. Lineage: Eukaryota; Cercozoa; Cercomonadida; Cercomonadidae. RNAcentral also lists the same sequence under 1 other name.